RNAcentral lists this ribosomal RNA (387 nucleotides) under Prasinoderma sp. RNAcentral's name for it is "partial small subunit ribosomal RNA". It matches the Rfam family "Eukaryotic small subunit ribosomal RNA", at positions 582 to 975 of the family's 1831-position model. The record is from RNAcentral. Lineage: Eukaryota; Viridiplantae; Prasinodermophyta; Prasinodermophyceae; Prasinodermales; Prasinodermaceae.
AUUCCAGCUCCAAUAGCGUAUAUUUAAGUUGCUGCAGUUAAAAAGCUCGUAGUUGGAUUUUGGGUCGGGGGUACCGGUCCGGUGUUUCACUGUGCACUGGUCUCCCCUUCCUUUCUGCCGGGGACGGCGUUUGCUCUUUACUGAGCGGCGUCGGAGUCGGCGUUGUUACUUUGAAAAAAUUAGAGUGUUCAAAGCAAGCCAUCGCUCUGAAUACAUUAGCAUGGAAUAACAUGAUAGGACUCCGGUCUUAUUUUGUUGGUUUCCGAGACUGGAGUAAUGAUUAAGAGGGACAGUCGGGGGCAUCCGUAUUUCAUUGUCAGAGGUGAAAUUCUUGGAUUUAUGAAAGACGAACUUCUGCGAAAGCAUUUGCCAAGGAUGUUUUCAUCA